RNAcentral lists this long non-coding RNA (1514 nucleotides) under Felis catus (domestic cat). RNAcentral describes it as "lncRNA (ENSFCAG00000040286.2)". Lineage: Eukaryota; Metazoa; Chordata; Mammalia; Carnivora; Felidae. The record is from RNAcentral.
GAAAGAAAUCAUAAGGAGGAAAUGGACCGGACUAGUACAAGUAUGAUUUGCUUAUGCCGCCAAGUGUGAAGUUGCACUUGAGAAUAAAUGAUCUCCUCACCUGCUAACACCACACAAGAGCUGAAGAAGGAAAACAAAGAAGGAGAAUCAGAGAAGACUAUCGGGAGGAAUUCAGAACAUCUUCACCUGGAUUUUCAUCGGUAUGUAGAAAUGUACAUGGUCAGAGCUGAAGGGAUAAUCUAACUUUUGACUUUCUCCUAUAUUUUGCAGCUUAUUGAAGGGCACAACUGUCCAUCCCAAGUCUUCCAAGCCCAAAUCCUGGGGUGACUUUUAACUCCUUUUUAAAAUUUUUUAAAAAAGUUUAUUUAUUUUUGAGAAAGGGAGAGAGAGAAUGCAUGAGUGAGGGAGGGGGGAGAGAGAGAGAGAAGGAGGGAGAGAAUCCCAAGCAGGCUCCAUACUGUCAGCAACAGGAGCCCUCUGUGGGCUUAGACCCACGAAUGUGAGAUUGUGAUCUGAGCCAAAAUCAAGAGCCAGACGCUUAACCCGCUAAGCCACCCAGGUGCCCCUUGACUCUUUUCUUAAAAAAAAAAAAAAAAAAUCAUAUUUAAUGAGUCAGCAAAUGCUAACGAUCUUCCCUCCACAAGUUCCUGACAUGUGCUCACGUUUCCCAAAUCUUCCACACUUUCAUCUUACCCUGUUUCAGGUACUCGUCAUCUCUUUCCUGGAACGCUGUGCCCACCUCCCGACUGGCUUUCCUGUUUCCAGUCUUUCCUCCCUCGUAUCUAUUCUCCAUCACCGGUAUGAGUCAUUGAUCUACAACAACAUCUAUCUGACUGUGUCACCACUGUCAGCAGUUCCCAAUGACAUGACUGUGGUAUUCCUCAAACUCAGCGAACCUCAAAGAUGGACCCCUGAGGUGAAAUAUUUUAUGGUAAGCAGACAGGCAACUUGGAAAGCAAUGGAUCCGAUCCUAAAGUACCCAAUAUGUGGUAGCCAACCCGAAUGAGGAAAAGGUAAGAAUUUGACCUUGUAUGAAUAAUACUGUGCAAUGCAUCUUGUGAUAUAUGCUUUUAUGUUAAAAUGCUUAAAAUUGGUUUAAUCUGUAUAGUCAGGAGAUGUGCUCUUUGUUUUCCAGUUGACUACAUGCCUUUGGUAUAACUUGCAAGUUAGGGAAAGAAGAUGACAAUUCUAGUUUCAGUUAGAGGGGUUGUAAAUGAAUGUAGAACUCUCUCUGGGGCAGAGUUAUUUCUUAGUAUGCUCUGAACUUUGAUAAUGUAAAAUGACUAUUAUUUUGAUUUUUUACUCCUUACAUAACCAUACUGUUUGCACAUCAACAGAUAAGAGUACAUGGGUGCUUCCAUUUCAGGCCAGUCCUAACUAUGUUUUUAACAUUCUAGAAGGGCUGUAUUUGUAAUUUGGUGAGUCCUUCAGUGCAAGCCAUAAAAUGUUAUUGAUACAGUUGUCUAGUGUUUAGGUAGAAUAAAUUGUUCAUUUUAAAAUUUUUUUAUUAUAUU